Molecule: ribosomal RNA, 1216 nt
Filed under: uncultured Rhizaria
Lineage: Eukaryota
Description: SSU rRNA
Rfam family: Eukaryotic small subunit ribosomal RNA
Source: RNAcentral
CGGUAAUUCCAGCUCCAAUAGCGUAUACUAAAGUUGUUGCAGUUAAAAAGCUCGUAGUAGGAUUUCUGCGGGGACGGAGCGGCCGGACGCAACUUGCGUCUCGAGCUAGCGCUUUCCCCGCAUCCUGCCGCGAACCGUGCUACCAUUAGCUUGGUGGCGCUGGGGAUCGGCUCGAUUACUUUGAGAAAAAUAGAGUGUUCAAAGCAGGCCACACGCCUUGAAUAAGUUAGCAUGGAAUAAUGACUAAGGACUUUGGUUCUUUUCGUUGGUGUUCGGGACUGAAGUAAUGAUUGAUAGGGACAGUUGGGGCGGUCUGUAUUCCAAAGCGAGAGGUGAAAUUCUUAGACCUUCGGAAGACAAACAGCUGCGAAAGCGUUCCGCAAGGAUGUUCCCUUUGAUCAAGAACGAAAGUUGGGGGAUCGAAGACGAUCAGAUACCGUCGUAGUCUCAACUAUAAACUAUACCAGCUAGGGAUCGGCCAACGUUUAAUUAUUCGACUUGGUCGGCACCUUAUGAGAAAUCAAAGCAUCUGGGUUCCGGGGGGAGUAUGGUCGCAAGGCUGAAACUUAAAGGAAUUGACGGAAGGGCACCACCAGGCGUGGAGCCUGUGGCUUAAUUUGACUCAACACGGGAAAACUUACCAGGUCCAGACAUAGGAAGGAUUGACAGAUUGAUAGCUCUUUCUUGAUUCUGUGGGUGGUGGUGCAUGGCCGUUUUUAGUCGGUGAAGUGAUUUGUCUGCUUAAUUGCGUUAACGGACGAGACACCAGCCUGCUAAAUAGCGCGGCCGAGCAUUGCUCGGUGCGAGCUUCUUAGAGGGACCAUGAUGCGCGAUAGCACAAGGAAGUUUGGGGCAACAACAGGUCUGUGAUGUCCUUAGAUGUUCUGGGCCGCGCACGGGCUACACUGGCGCCUGCAACGAGCAUAUCAGCUGGCCCGAGAGGGUCUUGGCUAAUCUUUGGAACCGGCGCCGUGCUUGGGAUUGACCAUUGCAAUUGUUGGUCAUGCAACGAGGAAUGCCUUGUAAACGCGAGUCAUCAGCUCGCAUUGAAUACGUCCCUGCCCUUUGUACACACCGCCCGUCGCUCCUACCGAUGAAUGUUCCGAUGAAAUUUUCGGAGAGCACCAGAGAACGGGGCUCCGCCUUGCAGAACUGGAGGCUCAAAGUCACUUAAAUCUGAACAUUUCGAGGAAGGAGAAGUCGUAACAAGGUAACC